RNAcentral lists this microRNA precursor (79 nucleotides) under Ovis aries (sheep). Its description in RNAcentral is "miRNA (ENSOARG00000024054.1)". The record is from RNAcentral. Lineage: Eukaryota; Metazoa; Chordata; Mammalia; Artiodactyla; Bovidae.
UUGGGUUGGCCACAAAGUUCAUUUGGGUUUUUCAUAACACCUUGCAGAAAAUCCUGAAUGAACUUUUUGGCUAACCCAA